This 1438-nucleotide ribosomal RNA is filed under the name Lactiplantibacillus pentosus. RNAcentral's name for it is "bacterial SSU rRNA". It matches the Rfam family "Bacterial small subunit ribosomal RNA". Lineage: Bacteria; Bacillati; Bacillota; Bacilli; Lactobacillales; Lactobacillaceae. The record is from RNAcentral. RNAcentral also lists the same sequence under 1 other name.
UGCAAGUCGAACGAACUCUGGUAUUGAUUGGUGCUUGCAUCAUGAUUUACAUUUGAGUGAGUGGCGAACUGGUGAGUAACACGUGGGAAACCUGCCCAGAAGCGGGGGAUAACACCUGGAAACAGAUGCUAAUACCGCAUAACAACUUGGACCGCAUGGUCCGAGUUUGAAAGAUGGCUUCGGCUAUCACUUUUGGAUGGUCCCGCGGCGUAUUAGCUAGAUGGUGGGGUAACGGCUCACCAUGGCAAUGAUACGUAGCCGACCUGAGAGGGUAAUCGGCCACAUUGGGACUGAGACACGGCCCAAACUCCUACGGGAGGCAGCAGUAGGGAAUCUUCCACAAUGGACGAAAGUCUGAUGGAGCAACGCCGCGUGAGUGAAGAAGGGUUUCGGCUCGUAAAACUCUGUUGUUAAAGAAGAACAUAUCUGAGAGUAACUGUUCAGGUAUUGACGGUAUUUAACCAGAAAGCCACGGCUAACUACGUGCCAGCAGCCGCGGUAAUACGUAGGUGGCAAGCGUUGUCCGGAUUUAUUGGGCGUAAAGCGAGCGCAGGCGGUUUUUUAAGUCUGAUGUGAAAGCCUUCGGCUCAACCGAAGAAGUGCAUCGGAAACUGGGAAACUUGAGUGCAGAAGAGGACAGUGGAACUCCAUGUGUAGCGGUGAAAUGCGUAGAUAUAUGGAAGAACACCAGUGGCGAAGGCGGCUGUCUGGUCUGUAACUGACGCUGAGGCUCGAAAAGUAUGGGUAGCAAACAGGAUUAGAUACCCUGGUAGUCCAUACCGUAAACGAUGAAUGCUAAGUGUUGGAGGGUUUCCGCCCUUCAGUGCUGCAGCUAACGCAUUAAGCAUUCCGCCUGGGGAGUACGGCCGCAAGGCUGAAACUCAAAGGAAUUGACGGGGGCCCGCACAAGCGGUGGAGCAUGUGGUUUAAUUCGAAGCUACGCGAAGAACCUUACCAGGUCUUGACAUACUAUGCAAAUCUAAGAGAUUAGACGUUCCCUUCGGGGACAUGGAUACAGGUGGUGCAUGGUUGUCGUCAGCUCGUGUCGUGAGAUGUUGGGUUAAGUCCCGCAACGAGCGCAACCCUUAUUAUCAGUUGCCAGCAUUAAGUUGGGCACUCUGGUGAGACUGCCGGUGACAAACCGGAGGAAGGUGGGGAUGACGUCAAAUCAUCAUGCCCCUUAUGACCUGGGCUACACACGUGCUACAAUGGAUGGUACAACGAGUUGCGAACUCGCGAGAGUAAGCUAAUCUCUUAAAGCCAUUCUCAGUUCGGAUUGUAGGCUGCAACUCGCCUACAUGAAGUCGGAAUCGCUAGUAAUCGCGGAUCAGCAUGCCGCGGUGAAUACGUUCCCGGGCCUUGUACACACCGCCCGUCACACCAUGAGAGUUUGUAACACCCAAAGUCGGUGGGGUAACCUUUUAGGAACCAGCCGCCU